Molecule: ribosomal RNA, 265 nt
Filed under: uncultured archaeon
Lineage: Archaea
Description: partial 16S ribosomal RNA
Rfam family: Archaeal small subunit ribosomal RNA
Source: RNAcentral
ACACGACUACAUUAGAUACCCGGGUAGUCCUAGCCGUAAACGAUACUCGCUAGGUGUCGGCCACGGUGCGACCGUUGUCGGUGCCGUAGGGAAGCCGUGGAGCGAGCCACCUGGGAAGUACGGCCGCAAGGCUGAAACUUAAAGGAAUUGGCGGGGGAGCACAACAACGGGUGGAGCUUGCGGUUUAAUUGGAUUCAACGCCGGAAAUCUUACCGGGACCGACAGCAACAUGAAGGCCAAGCUGAAGACUUUGCCGGAUUAGCUG